Molecule: ribosomal RNA, 1199 nt
Filed under: Salmonella enterica
Lineage: Bacteria; Pseudomonadati; Pseudomonadota; Gammaproteobacteria; Enterobacterales; Enterobacteriaceae
Description: partial 23S ribosomal RNA
Rfam family: Bacterial large subunit ribosomal RNA
Source: RNAcentral
CUGACACGUAGGUGAAGUGAUUUACUCAUGGAGCUGAAGUCAGUCGAAGAUACCAGCUGGCUGCAACUGUUUAUUAAAAACACAGCACUGUGCAAACACGAAAGUGGACGUAUACGGUGUGACGCCUGCCCGGUGCCGGAAGGUUAAUUGAUGGGGUCAGCGCAAGCGAAGCUCCUGAUCGAAGCCCCGGUAAACGGCGGCCGUAACUAUAACGGUCCUAAGGUAGCGAAAUUCCUUGUCGGGUAAGUUCCGACCUGCACGAAUGGCGUAAUGAUGGCCAGGCUGUCUCCACCCGAGACUCAGUGAAAUUGAACUCGCUGUGAAGAUGCAGUGUACCCGCGGCAAGACGGAAAGACCCCGUGAACCUUUACUAUAGCUUGACACUGAACAUUGAGCCUUGAUGUGUAGGAUAGGUGGGAGGCUUUGAAGUGUGGACGCCAGUCUGCAUGGAGCCGACCUUGAAAUACCACCCUUUAAUGUUUGAUGUUCUAACGUGGACCCGUAAUCCGGGUUGCGGACAGUGUCUGGUGGGUAGUUUGACUGGGGCGGUCUCCUCCUAAAGAGUAACGGAGGAGCACGAAGGUUGGCUAAUCCUGGUCGGACAUCAGGAGGUUAGUGCAAUGGCAUAAGCCAGCUUGACUGCGAGCGUGACGGCGCGAGCAGGUGCGAAAGCAGGUCAUAGUGAUCCGGUGGUUCUGAAUGGAAGGGCCAUCGCUCAACGGAUAAAAGGUACUCCGGGGAUAACAGGCUGAUACCGCCCAAGAGUUCAUAUCGACGGCGGUGUUUGGCACCUCGAUGUCGGCUCAUCACAUCCUGGGGCUGAAGUAGGUCCCAAGGGUAUGGCUGUUCGCCAUUUAAAGUGGUACGCGAGCUGGGUUUAGAACGUCGUGAGACAGUUCGGUCCCUAUCUGCCGUGGGCGCUGGAGAACUGAGGGGGGCUGCUCCUAGUACGAGAGGACCGGAGUGGACGCAUCACUGGUGUUCGGGUUGUCAUGCCAAUGGCACUGCCCGGUAGCUAAAUGCGGAAGAGAUAAGUGCUGAAAGCAUCUAAGCACGAAACUUGCCCCGAGAUGAGUUCUCCCUGAGACUUAGAGUCUCCUGAAGGAACGUUGAAGACGACGACGUUGAUAGGCCGGGUGUGUAAGCGCAGCGAUGCGUUGAGCUAACCGGUACUAAUGAACCGUGAGGCUUAACCUUAC